Molecule: ribosomal RNA, 777 nt
Filed under: uncultured Neocallimastigales
Lineage: Eukaryota; Fungi; Neocallimastigomycota; Neocallimastigomycetes; Neocallimastigales
Description: partial large subunit ribosomal RNA
Rfam family: Eukaryotic large subunit ribosomal RNA
Source: RNAcentral
UAUCUCUGUAGAGUCUGCAUAUCAAUAAGCGGAGGAAAAGAAACUAACAAGGAUUCCCUUAGUAACGGCGAGUGAAGCGGGAAGAGCUCAAAUUUGAAAUCUUCAAGGUUCUACCUUGACGAAUUGUAGUUUAAAGAAGUGUUUUCUGUUAGAUGAGUAGCAAAGGUUCCUUGGAAUGGGACAUCAUAGAGGGUGAGAAUCCCGUAUUUGGUUAUUCAUUCUAGCUUUGUGAUACACUUUCAAAGAGUCGGAUUGUUUGGGAAUGCAGUCCAAAAUGGGUGGUAAAUUUCAUCUAAAGCUAAAUACUGGCGAGAGACCGAUAGCGAACAAGUACCGUGAGGGAAAGAUGAAAAGAACUUUGAAAAGAGAGUUAAACAGUACGUGAAAUUGUCAAAAGGGAAGCGUUUGACACCAGUGUUGUUUUCUCGAAAAUCAAUUAAGAAUGGCAUGAUUUUGUGUUGUAUUGACUUUAUCAGCUUUCUUCACUCUUUUCGAAGUCUUUUUAAUGCACUUUUCGGUUAACAAGUCAACAUCAGUUUCUUUUGUUGUAAAAGAGUCAUUGGAAGGUGGCUUUCUUUUCGGAGAAAGUGUUUAUAGCCUUAUGCCUCUACAAUCGGAGAGAUUGAGGUCUGCAGCGUAGAUCCUUCGGGGUUAGAUACAUUUGUGCUAAGUUAGUAGCCUUUCAUAGACAACUUGUUGACUAUGAUCAGUCAUGUAGGCUUACUCGCUUAGUGCUAUUUUACCUACGCUUAGGAUGUUGACGAGACUGUCGAUCUC